GAGUUUGAUCAUGGCUCAGAUUGAACGCUAGCGGGAUGCCUUACACAUGCAAGUCGAACGGCAGCACGGACUUCGGUCUGGUGGCGAGUGGCGAACGGGUGAGUAAUGUAUCGGAACGUGCCUAGUAGCGGGGGAUAACUACGCGAAAGCGUAGCUAAUACCGCAUACGCCCUACGGGGGAAAGCAGGGGAUCGCAAGACCUUGCACUAUUAGAGCGGCCGAUAUCGGAUUAGCUAGUUGGUGGGGUAACGGCUCACCAAGGCGACGAUCCGUAGCUGGUUUGAGAGGACGACCAGCCACACUGGGACUGAGACACGGCCCAGACUCCUACGGGAGGCAGCAGUGGGGAAUUUUGGACAAUGGGGGAAACCCUGAUCCAGCCAUCCCGCGUGUGCGAUGAAGGCCUUCGGGUUGUAAAGCACUUUUGGCAGGAAAGAAACGUCAUGGGUUAAUACCCCGUGAAUCUGAC
RNAcentral lists this ribosomal RNA (469 nucleotides) under Alcaligenes sp. RNAcentral describes it as "bacterial SSU rRNA". It matches the Rfam family "Bacterial small subunit ribosomal RNA", at positions 9 to 473 of the family's 1533-position model. Lineage: Bacteria; Pseudomonadati; Pseudomonadota; Betaproteobacteria; Burkholderiales; Alcaligenaceae. The record is from RNAcentral.